CCCUGUUUCAGUAAAAUUCAGAUAUCUCCAAAAAUACAACUCUUUUGCUUAUUCUAUUUCUUUCAUAUGAAAAUAUACACAUUCAGCUUCAAUUUCAUAUAUUAUUCAGCUUCCCAUUCAUUUUCCACCAUUUAUGGUGAUUUUUCAAAGUUACCCAACUACUGUUGUUCAACACAGUUUAUAAUUAAAUCGUUCCUUUUGCGUUUUUGAUAUUUUCUCCCAUCUCAUACAUGGGUCGAUUUAGUAUUCAACUCAAUAUUUACCCCAUAAAAUUUUCCACCAUAUGGAAAUAUUCAUCUUCC
This 302-nucleotide long non-coding RNA is filed under the name Gossypium barbadense (sea-island cotton). RNAcentral's name for it is "long non-coding RNA (GBAR_LNC016421)". Lineage: Eukaryota; Viridiplantae; Streptophyta; Magnoliopsida; Malvales; Malvaceae. The record is from RNAcentral.